RNAcentral lists this ribosomal RNA (424 nucleotides) under uncultured bacterium. RNAcentral describes it as "bacterial SSU rRNA". It matches the Rfam family "Bacterial small subunit ribosomal RNA", at positions 359 to 775 of the family's 1533-position model. The record is from RNAcentral.
GAAUAUUGGACAAUGGGGGCAACCCUGAUCCAGCCAUGCCGCGUGUGUGAAGAAGGCCUUCGGGUUGUAAAGCACUUUAAGUGGGGAAAAAGGCUCGUUGGCUAAUAUCCAGCGGGAUUGAUACUACCCACAGAAUAAGCACCGGCUAACUCUGUGCCAGCAGCCGCGGUAAUACAGAGGGUGCAAGCGUUAAUCGGAAUUACUGGGCGUAAAGCGCGCGUAGGCGGCUGUCUAAGUCGGAUGUGAAAGCCCCGGGCUUAACCUGGGAACUGCAUUCGAUACUGGGCGGCUAGAGUAUGAGAGAGGGAGGUAGAAUUCCACGUGUAGCGGUGAAAUGCGUAGAUAUGUGGAGGAAUACCGGUGGCGAAGGCGGCCUCCUGGCUCAAUACUGACGCUGAGGUGCGAAAGCGUGGGGAGCAAACAG